Lonchura striata (white-rumped munia) is the source of this 964-nucleotide long non-coding RNA. RefSeq lists it as uncharacterized. The record is from RefSeq and is a predicted model, not a curated record. Lineage: Eukaryota; Metazoa; Chordata; Aves; Passeriformes; Estrildidae.
CCUACUUUUCUUGUAUUAUUAUUCCUGGUUUCAGCAGCCCGACUCCCCGGGAGCAGAGGAGGAGUGCUGGUGGUGUGUUUGUGGAGGAUAUACAGCCAGGACUGGGUUGGCCUCAAAGUAAGCAAUCAAAUUACAUGAUUGCUGGAGAGCAGGGAGAGAAAGAAUGCUUGGAGCAAGACAAAAGGAAAACUACUUCUUAAGAAACCAGAGGACAACAUCUUUAGCUAACCACAACUGCAGAACAGCCAUUGAUUUAGGUUCUGCACAGGAGCAACUGUGGCUGCUUGCUGUUUAUCAUCCUGUGAGGGACUGAUGUCUGUUGCCCUGAGCUACAGAAAAAGGCCAAUGAGAAUUAAUUUGACAUCAAAAGAAGAAGAGCCAAGCCAUAUAAGCCUUCAUCAAAGGAGUAAAGCAGACGUGUAAUUGGGUGCUCAGAGUGAGUUAGGAUUCUGCUCACUCACCACAAGGCUGCAGAGGACGGAUCUGCUCAUGUACCCAGCCCUGGAGCGACCAGCACGGGGGGCUCCUACCUGCACCCCUCUCAUUUCCUUACUGCUCCCCACACAAAAGCAAUACAGCCCUUGCAGUGACUUCCCUGAGGUUCCUUAUCAGUGGGAAUAAUUAGUGUGAACACUAAAAGCCCCUCAGUGGGAAUAAAGGGUCAGCCCCACAUCCCCCAGCACAGAGCAGGAGCUCAUUAUCUUGCAUGAAUUCUUCAUAAAUUGUAGAAGCGUAUUCAGCAUAUGGCCUUGUUCUGCUUUUCUCCCCAAACAGAGAGCAAAAAAACAUAUAUUUUUGUUGAUAAUUUCCUCAUAUAAAUUUGAUUGGAAGUAAGAACAUUUUUUAAAUGGACUGUGCAUUCUGCAUCUGUGUUUCAUACGUUAAAGAGAAAACUCAAUCAUCUCAGUGCAAUUGUUUUAUUUACACCAGUUUAACCAGAAAAUAAAUGGCUACAGUAAUCUUC